RNAcentral lists this ribosomal RNA (481 nucleotides) under uncultured bacterium. RNAcentral's name for it is "partial 16S ribosomal RNA". It matches the Rfam family "Bacterial small subunit ribosomal RNA", at positions 28 to 507 of the family's 1533-position model. The record is from RNAcentral.
GAUGAACGCUGGCGGCGUGCUUAACACAUGCAAGUCGAACGAAGCAUUUAAGACAGAUUACUUCGGUUUGAGGUCUUUUAUGACUGAGUGGCGGACGGGUGAGUAACGCGUGGGUAACCUGCCUCAUACAGGGGGAUAGCAGCUGGAAACGGCUGGCAAUACCGCAUAAGCGCACAGUACCACAUGGUACAGUGUGAAAAACUCCGGUGGUAUGAGAUGGACCCGCGUCUGAUUAGCUUGUUGGCGGGGUAACGGCCCACCAAGGCGACGAUCAGUAGCCGACCUGAGAGGGUGACCGGCCACAUUGGGACUGAGACACGGCCCAGACUCCUACGGGAGGCAGCAGUGGGGAAUAUUGCACAAUGGAGGAAACUCUGAUGCAGCGACGCCGCGUGAGUGAAGAAGUAGUUCGCUAUGUAAAGCUCUAUCAGCAGGGAAGAUAGUGACGGUACCUGACUAAGAAGCUCCGGCUAAAUACGUG